GCCGAGGCCAUCGUGUUUCUCCUGCCGGCAGCCUCUGCGCGCGCGUGAUCUCACGCCACAGCAGCGCGCUCAGCUACUGGAACGACGAGAUCUCCGCCUUCGCCGUCACUGAGAAACCGGCAAGCACCGCCGCCGCGGCUCUCUCUCCGCUCACCACCAGAUUCGCCUCUCUUUUCUCCCUCGAAGCUCCUCCCUCACAAUUUUAGAUCUCCCUGCGUCUGGACGUCCGCCGCCUCCACAGCUCCGUCGUUGCUGCUAUCUCCGGAGUCGCGGCCUGGAGUUGCUGCUGCUCGUUCGGUGGUCAGCGGCUCGUUGGAGGAGCGCUGCUGUUGGCCGCUGCUGGUGGUCAGCCUUCUCCCUAUCUCUCCCUCUCGAUCCGGCCUCAGCCGAAGCGGGUGCCGCCGCCGCUGCCGUCCGUGGAAGACCGGCGAGCGCCUCCUCUUCCUUCCAAGGUCGAUCUCUCAUCUGA
RNAcentral lists this long non-coding RNA (469 nucleotides) under Salvia miltiorrhiza (redroot sage). Its description in RNAcentral is "long non-coding RNA (SMIL_LNC010229)". The record is from RNAcentral. Lineage: Eukaryota; Viridiplantae; Streptophyta; Magnoliopsida; Lamiales; Lamiaceae.